This 936-nucleotide long non-coding RNA is filed under the name Manacus vitellinus (golden-collared manakin). Its description in RNAcentral is "lncRNA (ENSMVIG00005018706.1)". Lineage: Eukaryota; Metazoa; Chordata; Aves; Passeriformes; Pipridae. The record is from RNAcentral.
CUUUUUUGGUUUUAGCAUUAUUUUCACCUCAGAUAUCUAAAUUCAGAGUUACUGUAAACUGCCAUGUAUGUUAACUUUUUCAGUGGCUGAUUUGAGUUAGAAUUUUUUUUAAAUAUUCUCUGUUUUAGUGCUCACUUUCUCUUUUUUUCCCUGUGAGACAAGCAUAAUUUUACGUAUAAAAGCAUGUGCAAACUCAAAUGCAGUCCAAAGUGCAAAUAUCCCUGGGGAAAUAAUUUUUUUAUAUUCUCUGUUGCUGAGCUGCCAUAAAUGUUGUGGUUUAGUGCUUGUAAUUUUCUGAAGCCAGUACAGAAUGAAAUUAGUUUUUCAGAUCCUGUGCAGGGCAUUUUUUUUUUAUUUUUUUUUAAUUUUUUUUUUUUCCAGAACAGUUGAACAGAUUUGCAGGCUUUGGAAUUGGCCUUGCAAGCCUAUUUACAGAAAAUGUGUUGGCACAUCCCUGCAUUGUUCUACGUCGCCAGUGUCAGGUUAAUUAUCAUGCUCGGAAUUACCAUCUCACUCCAUUUACUAUUGUCAAUAUUAUGUACUGCAUCAAUAAGACACAGGUCAGUAUUUGGUGACAGGCUGUAUCUGAGCAGUGUACGUUGAAAUCUGUAAGUCUUUAUGUAUUUGUUGUUUAAAAACAUGGCCAUUAUAAGGGUUUAUUAUUUGGAGAAAUGUUUCAAGAUCAUUGUAAGUCAUUUUUUUAAGUAUAGUACUUAGUGGAGACAAUUUGUAGAUGUUGCAGAAAACAAAAGGUCCCUGAAACUUAAUUUUUUUUCAUUAGUAUUCUAAAAGAUGAUUAAUCUUUAUGUGGAUAAUAAUAAUAUCUAAGCAACUACUUUCAAUGAUAAUAUGGAAUUAAUUUCCAGUUCUGCAUGGGAAUGACAAUCCUGAAACUCAGAUGAGAAGGCAGUAAGAAAAGACUUUCUGAAUUUCUUA